This is a long non-coding RNA of Podarcis raffonei (Aeolian wall lizard), 5979 nucleotides long. RefSeq lists it as uncharacterized. The record is from RefSeq and is a predicted model, not a curated record. Lineage: Eukaryota; Metazoa; Chordata; Lepidosauria; Squamata; Lacertidae. The transcript is spliced from 2 exons.
AGCUGUUCCAGAGCUAGUAAGUGCAGUGUCAAAUCUCAUACAUUUGCCUUUAAAUCUCUUGUAUUCAUCCCCCCUCCCCAUCACUAGUUGCACACAUAUCUUCAAGGCUGCCAUCAGAACCCAAAAUCCUCGGGCAGCUGCUGGGCCACCCAGUAGGGCACACCACAGAUGCUUGCCCAGAAGCCACCCACCCCCAGUCUGGUGCUAUUUUAAUUUCACUACAAUGCCCCACAACUAAGUAUAACUCUGGGGCAUUGUGAGAAAUUUAAAUAGCAGCCACUCAGUACUGCUCAGAGCCCUGCUCCUACAAUGCUGCCAGCUAACCCACCAGGGCUCAGUGAGAGCAUUUUGCUCAGGGCCCCUUCAAACUGGUACUAUACCAUCCAUGGAUGCACUUCCUUUCCCAAAUUUACAGGAUAACCAGCAAUGACCUACCUGAUGGUGAGAGCCAGAGUAAUCUUAAUUAGAACUAGAAUGGCAGGAGGAAGCUAGGACCCAAAGGAGGCUGCAUUUUAUAUUUACCUCACAUAUGCCAGGAAGCAAUAAGGCAACAAAUAUUAAUCCCACUUGCAGUUGCCCAGGGGAAUAGAGAGUGUUCUAGUUGCAAGCUCUGCGGUGCUGGAGCUGGCAGCUAUGAUAGCCUGCAGUAAAACAUCAUCCAUCCCCUUCAGCAGUAGCUAUUGCACACUAGAUUUGUUGAACAGAUUAGGCUGAAGAUGGCCCUGUAACCCUAAUAAACCUAAAUUAUGCUGAAUCUAGACAUCCAUCUGUCACCCAUGCUUUUUCUUCUGUGCAUGUUAUGUGCUGCAUACAUUGGCAUGUAUCAAUACACGCACAUGCAUCAAUACAUCUUGUUGGGCACCAGGAGCACGCUACUAGAAAGCAGCCUUAUCAAUACUCGCUGACAUCAAGUUAUCAGUAGCACAUAUUGAACCCAAUAUAUGGGCAUGUCACUUCCCCCCUCUCCUCUUCAAGAUGGACGCAAGCAGGUGAACAGAAGCUUACUGUUUACAGUAGUUUACUGUUAUGUCUGAGCUCUGAGAUAAACUGUGGUUAGUCUUAACUAUUAUUUACUAAAACAAGUCAACUUCAAGCUGACUUCUUUCAGUAAGAGUAAGAGUUCAAAUAUAACUAUAAACUGCUGUUAAUUGAAAGUGAAAGUCAAAGCUUCCCAACCCCUCCUGGUUGGAAGGCUGGGGUUAAACCACAGUUUUCCAGUUCAGAUAGACCACGCAAGUGGUUUAAUAACCUACAAGAUAAACACCCUGUAGUGGGGGGGGGGUAAACAAAGGUACAACACUUGCUGUCGGCCUACAAAAAACAUGGUUUGAUGUUGUUAUGAAACUGGCUUUAGAAUCCAGUUCCUUAACAAAUAUAUUUCCCAAAGAUGCUGACUUCCUGGGUUUACUGGGUUUUGUUCUAGGGAAAAUGCCCAGCUUUCAGAGCAAUGUACGGAAGCUUAAAACUGCAGAAGGUAGUGCCGGUAUUUGCAAAACUGAAGGUAGUCAGUUUUGGUGAAUCCCAAGGAUGAAGGUUGGAUGACUUUACCCCUUACAGUGGGGUCUCUCAAAGCCUUCUUCUGAAUCUUUCAAAAUUCUACAAGAACCACUUAACAAUUUCAUUGUCAGUCCUCCUAACAAAUCAUGGUCAUUAAAUCUAUCCUUUUAUAAGUCAAAUUGCCAGAUUUGGAUGUAUCUGAUUUCUUUGAUUUAGUACAUUUCUAGGCAUCCUGCCUACCUUAGCAAGUUCUCUUCCUUUUAACAGCCUUUAUUUAACAAAUAUGAAAAUAAAAUACUUCAGUUUCAAGGUGGGGGUUCAUUUCUAUAGGAUAUAUUGUAUACACACUUAAAUCUAAAUUUAAUUUCCCUGAAAUAAAAUGAAUGGCAUUUAAAAGAAAGUAAAUAAACCAUGGGGUGUUGUUAUUUUUAAAGAAAUGUUAUUUUGUAGAAAUAAGUUGAUCACACUUUUGAAAGGAUGUAAAAGAUCAUAAGUUUACUUCUUAAAGAGACCAUGAGUUGUAUCCAAUUAUAUUUAGUGCACUAGCUACACAGUUCUGUCUAUGACUUCCCAGAAUUAAGCCCCACUGAGCUCAAUGAGGCAUAUUUCUAGGUAUGUGUUUAUAGGAUUGCAGCCUUAUUUACACUUGCUGUACUUAAUUCCCAUUGAAAGGGACAAAUUUCUCAUGACUUACGUCCCAUUGAUUUUGAUGGAAACUAAGUGCAGCUAAUGGGCAGAACAAUCUAGUCCCCUCCCCAUUAUGCCAAGCUGGGCAGAGGUGGUUGGACUGAGCAGAGAUGUCCUUCUGUCCAGCUCUCCUGAUUAAUCUGGCCUCCCGCAAGCUGCCAAACAUGCAGGCAGGAGGGGGAAUCACUGGCAGGAUCACCCCGCUUCUUGGUCAGCAGCCAGCAGGAAGCCACUGAAUGGGAGUUCCAAGGGUGGGGCUCAGCCAGUUGGCUCCCAAACCGAUUUAAUUGCCUUCAUGUGACAGGAUGGGGCCUGAUUGCUCUUCUGCCAUGUCUGCCGUGCAGUGGUGGGCCUGCCGCUCCAUACAGCCCCACUGGUGGGGGAGGUUUGGAAUGCAGCCUUAGUCUGGAUGCAACAGCAUGCUAUUUAAUAUUCAUCAGACACACACUGCUAGGCCCUGCUGUGCUCUACUGCAUAGCUUAUAUCAAAGGGUCUUGCACUGGAGGACUUCCUGAUAGAUAUCACUUUAGUUCAGGCAAACGUGAAAUCAAAAAUAACUAUUUUUUUAAACUGAAAAAUGCACUCACUUUGCAUGAAGUUAAGUAACUAAAGCACUAUGUUGUGUGCAAUAAUGCCACUACCUAUGUAGUAUGUGGCGUACUAGUUGAUGGUAAAGAUUUAUAUUGAAAAGAGUAGGUAGAGUGCUUUGUUGCUUUGCUGGAAGCAACCAAGGAACUCUGCCCCUCAAAUUAGUGGAUUAUUACAUAUACUGAAGCAAAGAAACCUGAAGUGUUUCAGUUAGGGUCUCAGUUAUAAAUCACUCUGCAGCUGAUUUCAAAUCAGUUUGAGUGCCCUGGCUUUCUCCAAAGAAUCCUGUAAACUACACUUUUGUAAGGAGUGUCUUUUCUUUAACCGUUGCGGAUGCGCCUGCAGAACUAUAAUGGUUUGUGCUCUUUGGAAGGGAGCCAUACCACUUGAGCUGGUUUGAAACUGAUUUAAAUUUGUCCUGCAGAUGUGACUUGAAAGGAGCUGGGAAAUUGGGACAGGAGAGACCCAUCUGCACUCGUAUGAAGAAUCUUUAUAAUAUGUGACACUGAAACUGUACUACAACAAAAAUAUCGUUGUCAACACCAUUAAUUUGCUGGGCCAUAGGUGACUCUUGCCUAAUUUACUAAGUAGAUAACAAGACUUGUACAAAUAGAGAGCCUUUUAAAAAAAAGAAAAAAAGAAAAAUGCUUACAUGUAGAAAAUGUAUGACACCCUUGUACUAUGGCUUGCACUUUACCUGCAUAUAAACUGUGAAGUAGGCUGUAGUAAUUUAUUAUUAUUUUGUAUAUUCAGGGGUUGAAGUAGCAAAGCACUAGUACGACAUGGCUGGUUUUCAAGCUGUACUGUUAAAAGAAAUCUCAGACUAGAGACGGAUAUGAGGGUUUUGAAGAGAGUUGAAGGUGGCAAGAGACAGGAAUCUUGGGCCAAAUAGGACCCAAUCUUCCCUUGGCUGAAAAAAAGGCUUUGCAAGCAUGGAUGAGAUAAUUACUCUUGACAGGUUGCUAUAUACAGUGGUACCUUGGUUUGCAACCGCUUUGGAUUACAACCAUGUCAAACCUGGAAGUACGUGUCCCUUUUUUUUAUUACAACCUAUUUUUUUUGGAUUACAACCCAUUUUUUGGAUUACAACCCAUUUUGGGGGGGAGGCCCCAUUGGUAAAAGCGCGCCUUGGGUUACAACCUGUUUUGGUUUACAACUGGACCUCCGGAAAGGAUAAUGGUUGUAAACCAAGGUACCACUGUAGAAUGCAAUUGAUAAACCACUUAAAGGAUUGCAAACACCAAUGUGGAUCAAGACUACACAAUCAAUAGCCAGAUUCUGACAAUCCUUUAAACUAGGGUGGCCAGCAUGUGCCCUCUAGAUGCUGUUGGACUACAGUUGCCACCUUCCCUGAUCAUUGGACGUGCUGGCUGGGACUGCUGGAAGUUGUAGUUCGAUUACUUUUGGGAGGUGAGGGUACAAUGUUGGCUACGUCUGCUCUAAACUAUUUCCUUACAGGACUCCUCUUCAGAACUACUUUCUUGCUUUCUCUAUGAAUCAAGCUACAGUUUGCUGCUAUGAUACCCAGAUUGGUAAAUGGUAGUUUAACAGCAGCAGGAGUGGGGAAUUUGUUGGACUCCCAACUCCCAUAAACAUGGUCAAUAGUCAGAGGUAAUGGGAGGAAUCAGAUUGUUAAAACCUCACCUUGCUACUUUGGAUUUUGCCUAUGCCUGCCUGUGGUUUGGUUCAAACAGGAGAUAAGAAAUCAUGACCGGCAAGAGGCAGGAAAAACAAAUAGGAAGGAGCACACACAUACUACACUUGCUCACAAUCCUCCAAACCAUGUUUUCCAGGGGCUUUGGAAUGAUGCUGUUUAGUAUAUACACCAAGCUUUUCAAACCACCUUCAACUCUCUGUAAAACCACUCUCCUGCCAAAAAGAGGUCAAAUAAGUGUAUUUUGAAAAAUCUGCUAAGUUAAAAGUCAGCAUCUGUGACUGACUAUGCUAUGGGGUCUCUCCAUGGUCUUUCUUUUGUAAAUAUGAACAUUCUUAACUAUUUCUGUAGCAAUAGGUUAUAUACCAAACUUUCACUUGGACUGUUUUCAAACAACAAAAAAUCUCUAGCGCCUUGUAUUCUUUAAAAAAAAAUCACGGAGAACCAGUCUUAGGAGCAUUUUUGUUUACACAAUAAUAUGUAUAUAUAAGGAAAUAUAUAUAUAUAUAUAUUAGAGGCAGAACUGUUAUUUAUCAUACUUUAUGUUGUGCUUGAUUAUGUCUAAGAGUCUGUCAUCUAGAAAUAUUUUCUGUGAUAGAGAAAGAAAAAUGUUAUAUUGCGGGAACCCUCCUGCAUAGGAGCUUGAAAAGUGAAAGCUUUAAGCAACUGUACAUCUAUAUUGUAGCUAUUAUUUUUAACUCCAACCUAUUGUAAUUUUCCUAAUUUAGCCAUGAAAGAAAACCAAAAUGUGAUGUUAAAUCAUUAACCAGGGAAGAUCCCAUUCAUAUGUUUUGCCUUGUUGUUUGAAAACUUCAGAACAUAUCCUUCAUCUUUACUUGUGAUGAGGGAGGUCUCUCUCAUGGGCUGCCUCUACUUUCAUCCCUUAGCAGUCAAGAGUCUUCAUUUUCAUGGAUGCACAUGGAAAAUGGACUUACAGCGCAAUCCUAUACAUUUCUCCUCAAAUGUAAGUCCCAUUGAUUUCAUUGGGGCUUAUUCCCAGGUAAGUGGGUACAGGAUUGCAGCCUCAGAUAGGUAAAACUAAAUUUCAACCCCUGGAUAAUACAGGUUUCUUUAUGUGUCUGUAUGUGUGUUUUUCAGUUUCACCAAAGUCUUUUUAAUUUUAUACUUGUCUUAUGUUGGAAAGUGAUCCACUGGUUUAUAUAGGCUAUGAAUGUUUGUUUUCCUUUGGUUUCCUUUUUUAGAAUUAAUGUACUUGGCUGCAAUUUUUUUUUCUACCACAGAUUAACUUGUUAACUUUUUGCGUGUCUACAAUGAAACUUUAUGAAUGGAAAAAUUUCACUGUGUGUUGCUCACUGGGCAUAUACCUCAUGGUACAUUGCACAGACUUGUAAGUUGUAAGUUGCACUGCAACAUUAUAAAAGGAACAUAUUGCUCUUUUUUCAAAGAUUAACUUAUUUAAAAAAAACUAUAUAGACUGUACAUUAUUGAAAAAGGACAUUUAUUCUUCCUAAAUUCAAAAGUAGCUUUUGUUUUAGGAAAAAGUUGUAAAACUUCAGUUGUAAAUUUGGACUUCAAUAAACUGAAUUCUCUGA